Molecule: ribosomal RNA, 1401 nt
Filed under: Salegentibacter sp.
Lineage: Bacteria; Pseudomonadati; Bacteroidota; Flavobacteriia; Flavobacteriales; Flavobacteriaceae
Description: bacterial SSU rRNA
Rfam family: Bacterial small subunit ribosomal RNA
Source: RNAcentral
UACCAUGCAGUCGAGGGGUAACAUAGAAAAGCUUGCUUUUCUGAUGACGACCGGCGCACGGGUGCGUAACGCGUAUACAACCUACCUUUUAGCGGGGAAUAGCCCAGGGAAACUUGGAUUAAUGCCCCAUAGUAUAUAGACUUCUCCUGAAGUUUAUAUUAAACAUUUAUGGCUAUUAGAUGGGUAUGCGUCCUAUUAGUUAGUUGGUAAGGUAACGGCUUACCAAGGCAGCGAUAGGUAGGGGUCCUGAGAGGGAGAUCCCCCACACUGGUACUGAGACACGGACCAGACUCCUACGGGAGGCAGCAGUGAGGAAUAUUGGACAAUGGGCGAGAGCCUGAUCCAGCCAUGCCGCGUGCAGGAAGACUGCCCUAUGGGUUGUAAACUGCUUUUACAGAGGAAGAACCACCCCCACGUGUGGGGGUUUGACGGUACUCUGCGAAUAAGGAUCGGCUAACUCCGUGCCAGCAGCCGCGGUAAUACGGAGGAUCCAAGCGUUAUCCGGAAUCAUUGGGUUUAAAGGGUCCGUAGGCGGGCAGUUAAGUCAGUGGUGAAAGUCUUCCGCUCAACGGGAGAACUGCCAUUGAUACUGAUUGUCUUGAGUUAUUAUGAAGUGGUUAGAAUGAGUAGUGUAGCGGUGAAAUGCAUAGAUAUUACUCAGAAUACCGAUUGCGAAGGCAGAUCACUAAUAAUAUACUGACGCUGAUGGACGAAAGCGUAGGUAGCGAACAGGAUUAGAUACCCUGGUAGUCUACGCCGUAAACGAUGGUUACUAGCUGUUCGGCCCAAUUGAGGGCUGAGUGGUUAAGCGAAAGUGAUAAGUAACCCACCUGGGGAGUACGUUCGCAAGAAUGAAACUCAAAGGAAUUGACGGGGGCCCGCACAAGCGGUGGAGCAUGUGGUUUAAUUCGAUGAUACGCGAGGAACCUUACCAGGGCUUAAAUGUAGUCUGACAGGUCUGGAAACAGACUUUUCUUCGGACAGAUUACAAGGUGCUGCAUGGUUGUCGUCAGCUCGUGCCGUGAGGUGUCAGGUUAAGUCCUAUAACGAGCGCAACCCCUGUGGUUAGUUGCCAGCGAGUAAUGUCGGGAACUCUAGCCAGACUGCCGGUGCAAACCGCGAGGAAGGUGGGGAUGACGUCAAAUCAUCACGGCCCUUACGUCCUGGGCCACACACGUGCUACAAUGGUAGGGACAGAGAGCAGCCACUUCGCGAGAAGGAGCGAAUCUACAAACCCUAUCACAGUUCGGAUCGCAGUCUGCAACUCGACUGCGUGAAGCUGGAAUCGCUAGUAAUCGCAUAUCAGCCAUGAUGCGGUGAAUACGUUCCCGGGCCUUGUACACACCGCCCGUCAAGCCAUGGAAGCCGGGGGUACCUGAAGUCGGUCACCGCAAGGAGCCG